CCUCCACCCCAACUAGUGCCACUGUUACCUGGAGAUUGAGUCCUGCACCUGCCCACCAGAUCCACCGGUCCAAGCACAUCGAGGGGAUCUAUGUGCUGGGGUGUGAACGAGGCAGUGGCUUCAUCCAUCCUCGGAUACAACAACAGCUCCAGACCCACGACAUUUCCCUCCUGCACCAUCCACACUCCCACCACAGCCACAACCACGAGCCCGGCCCCACCACCCACACCCUGGAGCAAAGGGAGUCGUCCACUUCAGAGCAUGCGGAGUGGCCUGACAGUGGAGGAGGGCCCCACACCUCACUGGCAGAGGAGAACGUUGAGCACAUCCUCUUAGAAAAUGAGUCUGGGAGAAGCACUACAUCCUCCAACACCACUGUUGGGGAGGAGGGAGGUGAUGACUUCCCACUGCCACCCACCUGUUCCAACCUGAGAGUGAUGGGCCACACCCUUGUCCUGGCCAGGUCCUCCUUCCAGGUGGUGGGGCU
RNAcentral lists this long non-coding RNA (487 nucleotides) under Portunus trituberculatus (swimming crab). Its description in RNAcentral is "uncharacterized LOC123513129, transcript variant X2". The record is from RNAcentral. Lineage: Eukaryota; Metazoa; Arthropoda; Malacostraca; Decapoda; Portunidae.